This is a long non-coding RNA of Macrobrachium nipponense, 406 nucleotides long. RefSeq lists it as uncharacterized. NCBI's taxonomy places the organism in Eukaryota, Metazoa, Arthropoda, Malacostraca, Decapoda, Palaemonidae. The record is from RefSeq and is a predicted model, not a curated record. The transcript is spliced from 3 exons.
GUAUAUGUGGCAGGCAGGAAGCUUCGACGUCCACGUGACCUGAUAAUAUCCUGGAACCCAACACUUCGUAGGACUUCAGGGAUCUUUAGUGUGUAGGCGGAGUAACCGAAAAACUGUUUGGUAUGUGAUCUACUGAUUUGUGCAGAAUGUUCAAGUUAUUACAGUCUACAAGGACUUCUGCCCAGUUGACUUAGUUUUCUCCAUAUCUGCACAAGGAACUGUUCGAACUUGAAAGCCGAGAAGAAAAUUCAUGAGUUGAGCAGCCAGAUUUGGACAGACCAAGAACAGGAAGGAAAGUCACAACUGAGCAGAGAAUACAUCCAAAGAAAGAAAAAUCGUUAACAUUGCAAUGGCGGAUUGUAUGCGAGAGGUUUAUCAAUAAGAACAAACCUGCAUUAUUCAAGGU